UAAGCGGAGGAAAAGAAACUAACAAGGAUUCCCCUAGUAACUGCGAGUGAAGCGGGAAAAGCUCAAAUUUAAAAUCUGGCAGUCUAUGGCUGUCCGAGUUGUAAUCUAGAGAAGCGUUAUCCGCGCUGGACCGUGUACAAGUCUCCUGGAAUGGAGCGUCAUAGAGGGUGAGAAUCCCGUCUUUGACACGGACUACCAGGGCUUUGUGAUGCGCUCUCAAAGAGUCGAGUUGUUUGGGAAUGCAGCUCAAAAUGGGUGGUAAAUUCCAUCUAAAGCUAAAUAUUGGCGAGAGACCGAUAGCGAACAAGUACCGUGAGGGAAAGAUGAAAAGAACUUUGGAAAGAGAGUUAAACAGUACGUGAAAUUGCUGAAAGGGAAACGCUUGAAGUCAGUCGCGUUGUCCAGGGAUCAACCUUGCUUUUGCUUGGUGCACUUUCUGGUUGACGGGUCAGCAUCAAUUUUGACUAUUGGAAAAAGAUUAGGGGAAUGUGGCAUCUUUGGAUGUGUUAUAGCCCUUAGUUGCAUACAAUGGUUGGGAUUGAGGAACUCAGCACGCCGCAAGGCCGGGUUUUUAACCACGUACGUGCUUAGGAUGCUGGCAUAAUGGCUUUAAUCGACCCGUCUUGAAACACGGACCAAGGAGUCUAACAUGCCUGCGAGUGUUUGGGGUGGAAAACCCGAGCGCGUAAUGAAAGUGAAAGUUGAGAUCCCUGUCGUGGGGAGCAUCGACGCCCGGACCAGACCUUUUGUGACGGUUCCGCGGUAGAGCAUGUAUGUUGGGACCCGAAAGAUGGUGAACUAUGCCUGAAUAGGGUGAAGCCAGAGGAAACUCUGGUGGAGGCUCGUAGCGAUUCUGACGUGCAAAUCGAUCGUCAAAUUUGGGUAUUAGGGGGCGAAAGACUAAUCGAAC
RNAcentral lists this ribosomal RNA (910 nucleotides) under Cortinarius cruentoides. RNAcentral describes it as "partial large subunit ribosomal RNA". It matches the Rfam family "Eukaryotic large subunit ribosomal RNA", at positions 47 to 940 of the family's 3401-position model. The record is from RNAcentral. Lineage: Eukaryota; Fungi; Basidiomycota; Agaricomycetes; Agaricales; Cortinariaceae.